Suricata suricatta (meerkat) is the source of this 554-nucleotide long non-coding RNA. RefSeq lists it as uncharacterized. The record is from RefSeq and is a predicted model, not a curated record. Lineage: Eukaryota; Metazoa; Chordata; Mammalia; Carnivora; Herpestidae. The transcript has 3 exons.
GUCGCACCCGAGGUGGCGGCCGUUGCUCCAGGGGACUGAGUCGGCCGUCUCCCUUUAACUGGGGCUUGUGCUGUGUUUUCGAGCGUGGUUUCCCUAGGGCUGUGCUCCUUGGCGUGCCUCUCCCCUCGGCCCCUGUUAACGGACGCGACUCUGACUCCCCUCAGCUGGCAACCGAGGCCGCGACGCCAGGAUGGCGGACGUCUGCGAUUAACGUCGAGGGCGGUGUUCGUGUCUGAACUGCGCUCAGCCGCAUCCUUUCCCCGUCGGCCUUUCCAGCCAGUGCAUCGACCUGUCGUGGAAGUGAACGAAGACUCCUUGAAAGGGACUGGAACCCGCUGAAGCGAGGGAGUCUGCCACCAUCCUGUGCCUUUGGCGGAGGCUCGAAGGCAGGCAGGGAAAGCUUUUCAGCGACAAGCCGGAGAGGCCUCGGUGUGAGACAUCCUACCAAAACUUCUGCCACAUUAAUGACAUUCGUGGGGUCUCUCUCCAGUUUGAAUUAUAGAAUGUCUAACAGGGGCGCCUGGGUGACUCAGUCGGUUAAACCUCCGACUUCG